GAUGAACGCUGGCGGCGUGCUUAACACAUGCAAGUCGAACGAAGCAUUUGCGACAGAUUUUUUCGGAAUGAAGUUGCUUAUGACUGAGUGGCGGACGGGUGAGUAACGCGUGGGUAACCUGCCUUGUACUGGGGGAUAGCAGCUGGAAACGGCUGGUAAUACCGCAUAAGCGCACAAUGUUGCAUGACAUGGUGUGAAAAACUCCGGUGGUAUAAGAUGGACCCGCGUCUGAUUAGCUAGUUGGUGAGAUAACAGCCCACCAAGGCGACGAUCAGUAGCCGACCUGAGAGGGUGACCGGCCACAUUGGGACUGAGACACGGCCCAGACUCCUACAGGAGGCAGCAGUGGGGAAUAUUGCACAAUGGAGGAAACUCUGAUGCAGCGACGCCGCGUGAGUGAAGAAGUAAUUCGUUAUGUAAAGCUCUAUCAGCAGGGAAGAUAGUGGCGGUACCUGACUAAGAAGCUCCGGCUAAAUACGUG
This 481-nucleotide ribosomal RNA is filed under the name uncultured bacterium. Its description in RNAcentral is "partial 16S ribosomal RNA". It matches the Rfam family "Bacterial small subunit ribosomal RNA", at positions 28 to 507 of the family's 1533-position model. The record is from RNAcentral.